RNAcentral lists this long non-coding RNA (225 nucleotides) under Sinocyclocheilus anshuiensis. RNAcentral's name for it is "lncRNA (ENSSANG00000015366.1)". Lineage: Eukaryota; Metazoa; Chordata; Actinopteri; Cypriniformes; Cyprinidae. The record is from RNAcentral.
AUUACAGACGUUUAUUCUUUAACUCAGUCUUUGAGAAACACAAAAGCGCUGCGGUUUCUAAAAGAACUUAAUCUGAGUGAUAAUAUGAUUGGAGACUCGAAGCAGCAGCUCAUUUAUGUGCUACGAGACUCAAACUGUGAACUGAGAGUCCCUGAUAGAGUUCAGCCGUCACAGGAUGAUGGAUGCUGUAUAUCAUAGUUAGAGAUGAUGAUGAGAGGAGCAGUG